CUGCGGGUGUUUCCAUGUACUCGAACGACAGCGCGAGAGAGCUUUCUCUCUUGGCGGCGAGUGGCGGACGGGUGAGUAAUAUAUCGGAACGUGCCCAGUAGCGGGGGAUAACUACUCGAAAGAGUGGCUAAUACCGCAUACGCCCUACGGGGGAAAGGGGGGGAUCGCAAGACCUCUCACUAUUGGAGCGGCCGAUAUCGGAUUAGCUAGUUGGUGGGGUAAAGGCUCACCAAGGCAACGAUCCGUAGCUGGUUUGAGAGGACGACCAGCCACACUGGGACUGAGACUCUUUUCCAGACUCCUACGGGAGGCAGCAGUGGGGAAUUUUGGACAAUGGGGGAAACCCUGAUCCAGCCAUCCCGCGUGUAUGAUGAAGGCCUUCGGGUUGUAAAGUACUUUUGGCAGAGAAGAAAAGGUAUCCCCUAAUACGGGAUACUGCUGACGGUAUCUGCAGAAUAAGCACCGGCUAACUACGUGCCAGCAGCCGCGGUAAUACGUAGGGUGCAAGCGUUAAUCGGAAUUACUGGGCGUAAAGCGUGUGUAGGCGGUCGCAAAGAAAGAUGUGUGUGGGGAAGAAUGUGACUUAGGGCUACCUUGGAACUGCAUUUUAACUGCCGAGCUAGAGUAUGUCAGAGGGGGGUAGAAUUCCACGUGUAGCAGUGAAAUGCGUAGAUAUGUGGAGGAAUACCGAUGGCGAAGGCAGCCCCCUGGGAUAAUACUGACGCUCAGACACGAAAGCGUGGGGAGCAAACAGGAUUAGAUACCCUGGUAGUCCACGCCCUAAACGAUGUCAACUUAGCUGUUGGGGCCGUUAGGCCUUAGUAGCGCAGCUAACGCGUGAAGUUGACCGCCUGGGGAGUACGGUCGCAAGAUUAAAACUCAAAGGAAUUGACGGGGACCCGCACAAGCGGUGGAUGAUGUGGAUUAAUUCGAUGCAACGCGAAAAACCUUACCUACCCUUGACAUGUCUGGAAAGCCGAAGAGAUUUGGCCGUGCUCGCAAGAGAACCGGAACACAGGUGCUGCAUGGCUGUCGUCAGCUCGUGUCGUGAGAUGUUGGGUUAAGUCCCGCAACGAGCGCAACCCUUGUCAUUAGUUGCUACGCAAGAGCACUCUAAUGAGACUGCCGGUGACAAACCGGAGGAAGGUGGGGAUGACGUCAAGUCCUCAUGGCCCUUAUGGGUAGGGCUUCACACGUCAUACAAUGGUCGGGACAGAGGGUCGCCAACCCGCGAGGGGGAGCCAAUCUCAGAAACCCGAUCGUAGUCCGGAUCGCAGUCUGCAACUCGACUGCGUGAAGUCGGAAUCGCUAGUAAUCGCGGAUCAGAAUGUCGCGGUGAAUACGUUCCCGGGUCUUGUACACACCGCCCGUCACACCAUGGGAGUGGGUUUCACCAGAAGUAGGAGCCAACCGAAGAGGCGAGUCCACGG
This 1430-nucleotide ribosomal RNA is filed under the name Alcaligenes faecalis. RNAcentral describes it as "bacterial SSU rRNA". It matches the Rfam family "Bacterial small subunit ribosomal RNA". The record is from RNAcentral. Lineage: Bacteria; Pseudomonadati; Pseudomonadota; Betaproteobacteria; Burkholderiales; Alcaligenaceae.